GUCUAUAUAUCAGAGACAUCCUGACCAACACACGGUUGGUAUUAGCUCUCAUCUAGCACCCAUGGCGAAAUGUCUGAAGCACACUACUAUCCACGCACUGUGGCUGGUUGCCAUAGUUCUUCUUGCAUCCUCUGUCGUACUUCAUGCGCGCAUAAUAAGCAGGCAAACCAAAGAGAAUAGCAACACUAGGAGCUUGACAAUGACUAUGAUGGGGCCGGCAAGCAACAUUAUUGGCACUGGGGUGGGCAACUUUCUAGAGGGAAGUGCAUUAAGGAUCAUGCAUAGUUCGUGUGCGUAAAGACUAUGGAGUGUUUUGUGACCUUAGUGGAGUGCUUGAUAGGGUGCAGUGGUUAUGACUAACAAGAGGCCGUGCUUUUAUCCAA
Zea mays is the source of this 383-nucleotide long non-coding RNA. RefSeq lists it as uncharacterized. The transcript has 2 exons. The record is from RefSeq and is a predicted model, not a curated record. Lineage: Eukaryota; Viridiplantae; Streptophyta; Magnoliopsida; Poales; Poaceae.